ACGCGAGCUGGGUUCAGAACGUCGUGAGACAGUUCGGUCCCUAUCCGUCGCAGGCGUAGGAAAUUUGAGAAGACCUGUCCUUAGUACGAGAGGACCGGGAUGGACGUACCUCUGGUGUACCAGUUGUCCUGCCAAGGGCAUGGCUGGGUAGCUAUGUACGGAAUGGAUAAGCGCUGAAAGCAUCUAGCGCGAAGCCAACUUCAAGAUAAGAUUUCCCACCGCAAGGGUAAGACCCCAGAAAGACUAUCUGGUUGAUAGGUCGAAGGUGUAAGUGCAGCAAUGUAUUUAGCUUAUCGAUACUAAUAGGUCGAG
RNAcentral lists this ribosomal RNA (312 nucleotides) under Clostridioides difficile. RNAcentral's name for it is "partial 23S ribosomal RNA". It matches the Rfam family "Bacterial large subunit ribosomal RNA", at positions 2598 to 2913 of the family's 2925-position model. Lineage: Bacteria; Bacillati; Bacillota; Clostridia; Peptostreptococcales; Peptostreptococcaceae. The record is from RNAcentral.